AACGAACGCUGGCGGCAUGCCUAACACAUGCAAGUCGAACGAGACCUUCGGGUCUAGUGGCGCACGGGUGCGUAACGCGUGGGAACCUGCCCUUAGGUUCGGAAUACCUCCCCGAAAGGGGUGCUAAUACCGGAUAAUUUCUUCGGACCAAAGAUUUAUCGCCUUUGGAUGGGCCCGCGUUGGAUUAGCUAGUUGGUAGGGUAAAAGCCUACCAAGGCGACGAUCCAUAGCUGGUCUGAGAGGAUGAUCAGCCACACUGGGACUGAGACACGGCCCAGACUCCUACGGGAGGCAGCAGUGGGGAAUAUUGGACAAUGGGCGAAAGCCUGAUCCAGCAAUGCCGCGUGAGUGAUGAAGGCCUUAGGGUUGUAAAGCUCUUUUACCCGGGAUGAUAAUGACAGUACCGGGAGAAUAAGCUCCGGCUAACUCCGUG
This 433-nucleotide ribosomal RNA is filed under the name uncultured bacterium. RNAcentral's name for it is "partial 16S ribosomal RNA". It matches the Rfam family "Bacterial small subunit ribosomal RNA", at positions 29 to 507 of the family's 1533-position model. The record is from RNAcentral.